GGAUAUAGCUCAGUGGUAGAGUGCCUGCUUAGCAUGCACAAGGUCCUGGGUUCAAUCCCUGGUACUUCCA
This 70-nucleotide transfer RNA is filed under the name Camelus bactrianus (Bactrian camel). It matches the Rfam family "tRNA". From Rfam's summary of the family: Transfer RNA (tRNA) molecules are approximately 80 nucleotides in length. Their secondary structure includes four short double-helical elements and three loops (D, anti-codon, and T loops). Further hydrogen bonds mediate the characteristic L-shaped molecular structure. tRNAs have two regions of fundamental functional importance: the anti-codon, which is responsible for specific mRNA codon recognition, and the 3' end, to which the tRNAs corresponding amino acid is attached (by aminoacyl-tRNA synthetases). tRNAs cope with the degeneracy of the genetic code in two manners: having more than one tRNA (with a specific anti-codon) for a particular amino acid; and 'wobble' base-pairing, i.e. permitting non-standard base-pairing at the 3rd anti-codon position. The record is from Rfam by way of RNAcentral. RNAcentral also lists the same sequence under 1 other name. Lineage: Eukaryota; Metazoa; Chordata; Mammalia; Artiodactyla; Camelidae.